RNA transcript from Cornus florida, 3747 nucleotides. It is a transcript of the gene named phototropin-2, with no coding region annotated. NCBI's taxonomy places the organism in Eukaryota, Viridiplantae, Streptophyta, Magnoliopsida, Cornales, Cornaceae. The record is from RefSeq and is a predicted model, not a curated record. The transcript has 25 exons.
AUCUGUUUCAAUUCCUUCUCUCUUUGGAAACAAAAAUAUUAAAGACUUGCUCUGCUCUGAGUAGUGAGUGGAAGAAGAAGAAGACGCAAUGGCUCCAAAAGCUUGAAUGAGCGAGGGAGCGAGCGCCCACAAUUAAACUACGUACUACUUGGUGGCAUAUAUAUAUAUAUAUAUAUAUAUAUAUAUAUAUGCGCACAAUAUUAAAUAUCAAUUGCUCCUGGACCUCGGCGUACGGUGUAUACCUCAUUCGAUCUCUUGCUUCUUCUAUUUAAUCUUCUUAGUGGGGUUGAGUACUGGAAGUUGCUAGGCUGUACGGACGUAGUUGGGUACAGGGAUCUCAUUAAUUCUGAUAUAUCAUCAUCAAAAUCAAAUUCAGAAUCAAAAUGGAGCACUCCUCCCCCUCCUCCUCUUCAUAUAGUGCUGCCGCGGGCGGCGGCGGCGGCGGCGGCGAACAGAGGCCUAGUAUGCAAGCAGGUGGGCCAUCUGAUGAAGUAGUAGCUGCAUCCAUCAUGACUACUUCCACCUCAAGCAACAGGGGCAGCGGAAGGCAGCCUCCGACUGGCAAGUGGAUGGCAUUUGAUCAUCCGGAGGAGGCCUCCGCCUCCGCCUCCUCCUCCACCACCGGCAAGUCUCCAAUCACUGCUGGCCAUGGAGAUGAUGACACGAUGAAUAUCAGUAGUACUCGUGAUCAUGAUCAUGUAACUUCGUGGAUGUUGACGGAAGCUAGCAUAGCCGAUAGGGCAGCAGAAUGGGGGCUGCAGCUGCAGGGAAUUAGAAAAACCUCCUCGUCAGAGAGAUUAAUUAUGGUACAACAUCAAGAAUCAAGUACGAGAACGUCCGAGGAAUCUGAUCCUCCUGCUGACAUAAUAAUCCCCAGGGUAUCUCAGGAGCUGAAGGACGCUCUGGCAACCCUUCAACAGACAUUUGUUGUGUCCGAUGCCACCAAACCCGAUUGCCCCAUUGUCUAUGCCAGCACCGGCUUCUUUACCAUGACUGGUUAUUCCACAAAGGAGGUUAUUGGAAGGAACUGCCGGUUUCUACAGGGGGUGGAGACGGACCAGAAGGAGGUUGAAAAGAUUCGAAAUGCUGUGAGAGAGGGGAAAAGCUACUGUGGCAGACUCUUGAACUACAAGAAGAACAGCGCCCCUUUCUGGAAUCUUCUCACUAUCACCCCUAUCAAAGACGACAAUGGCAGGACCAUCAAAUUUAUUGGAAUGCAGGUUGAGGUCAGCAAAUACACGGAAGGUGUGAAUGACAAAGCGUUACGGCCGAAUGGGUUGUCUAAGUCGUUAAUCCGCUAUGACGCUCGGCAGAAGGAGAAGGCCUUAAGUUCCAUCACAGAAGUUGUCCAAACUAUAAAGCAUCCAAAAUCUCACAGUCAGUCUGUAAAUCAUGAUGCUACCGGCAAGCAUGAAGUGGAGGAGAAUUUCAACCUUGACUAUGUUCUGCCUAAAUCUGCUGAUACUGAGAAUAUAAGUGCACCCCAAACCCCUCAAUUGGAUUCUAGAAGUUAUGUAUCUCGCACAAGCUCUUUCCAGGAGACUGUCAAAAUAUCUAGAAAAUCAGGACGCGUUUCUUUAAUGGGGUUUAAAGGGAGAUCUCUAAGCUACACAGGGAAGCAUGAAAAUCUACCAAGUAUUGAGCCAGAGGUUUUGAUGACUAAAGACAUAGAGCGCUCUGACAGUUGGGACCAUACUGACAGAGAAAGGGAUAUUCGUCAAGGAAUUGACCUAGCAACCACAUUGGAACGCAUUGAAAAGAAUUUUGUGAUAACAGAUCCUAGACUUCCUGACAACCCAAUUAUAUUUGCAUCAGAUAGCUUUCUUGAAUUGACCGAGUAUACGCGUGAAGAAAUUUUAGGAAGAAACUGCCGAUUUCUUCAAGGACCUGAAACAGAUCAAGGAACUGUCUCAAAGAUAAGAAAUGCUAUCAGAGAGCAAAGGGAAAUCACUGUACAGUUGAUAAACUACACUAAGAGUGGGAAGAAAUUCUGGAAUUUAUUCCACUUGCAGCCCAUGCGUGAUCAAAAGGGUGAACUUCAAUAUUUCAUUGGUGUCCAACUAGAUGGAAGUGAUCAUGUGGAACCCCUAAGAAACCGCCUCUCAGAGAAAACAGAGGAACAAAGUGCUAAGUUGGUCAAAGCUACUGCCAAUAAUGUUGAUGAGGCUGUUCGAGAACUUCCUGAUGCCAACUUGAGACCAGAAGAUUUGUGGGCUAUCCAUUCUCAACCUGUCUUCCCAAGGCCUCACAAAAAGUACAGUUCUUCUUGGACAGCAAUACAAAAGAUCACUGCUAGUGGUGACAAAAUUGGGUUAAAGCAUUUCAAGCCCAUAAGACCUUUGGGAUGUGGGGAUACUGGCAGCGUUCAUUUGGUGGAACUAAAAGGUACAGGUGAGCUGUAUGCUAUGAAGGCGAUGGACAAAUCUGUAAUGUUGAACCGUAACAAGGUUCACCGAGCAUGUAUUGAAAGGGAAAUCAUUUCUUUUCUGGAUCAUCCUUUCCUUCCAACACUAUAUGCCUCUUUUCAGACAUCUACACACGUUUGCUUGAUAACAGACUUCUGCCCUGGAGGAGAGUUAUUUGCCUUGCUUGACAAACAACCUAUGAAAAUAUUUAAAGAGGAAUCUGCGAGGUUCUAUGCGGCAGAGGUCGUUAUUGGGUUUGAAUAUCUUCACUGUUUAGGAAUAAUUUAUCGAGACCUGAAGCCGGAAAAUGUGCUUCUUCAAAAGGAUGGGCAUGUAGUACUAACUGACUUUGAUCUAUCAUUUAUGACAUCAUCUAAACCCCAAAUUAUAAAGCAUCCUCCGCCUAAAAAAAGAAGAUCUAGGAGUCAACCUCCACCAACAUUUGUUGCAGAACCAGUUACACAAUCAAAUUCAUUUGUUGGAACUGAAGAAUACAUUGCUCCGGAAAUUAUUACAGGUGCUGGCCACAGUAGUGCUAUUGAUUGGUGGGCUCUUGGUAUUUUUCUGUAUGAGAUGCUUUAUGGUCGUACACCUUUCAGAGGAAAGAACAGACAGAAGACAUUUGCCAACAUCUUGCACAAGGACCUAACUUUUCCAAGUAGUAUUCCGGUAAGUCUCGCUGCCCGGCAGUUGAUUCAUGCCUUGUUGAAUAGAGACCCUGCCAGUCGUUUAGGGUCAAUUACUGGUGCAAAUGAAAUCAAACAACACUCUUUUUUCCGUGGAAUUAAUUGGCCUCUCAUCCGCUGCAUGGUAGUGGCUCUUCCAUCUCUGUAUAGGCUGACACAGGAUUCCUUAUAUUGACUUUGGUCAGAUUUAGAUAGCCCACCACCACUGGAUGCACCUCUUAAGUUGAUUGGAAAAGAUCCAAAUGCUGCAGAUGUACAUUGGGAAGAUGAGGGAGUACUUGUUCAUUCUAUGGAAUUUUUCUAGAGGCAUAUUUGUGUAAAUGAGAUAAAGCAAGUAUGUGGAUGGACUGGAUUUUGGCCUUGUUACUUCCUGGAAGAUGGGGCUAUCUCUGGUCAGAAAAUAGGAAUUUCAGACUGUACAGAGAGGAAUAACCGACCAAUGGGAUUUAUAGUUUAAUCUUCUUUGUUUUUUUUUGGGUCUGUGAGGGGUGUAGGGAGGGAAUGUAAGAGUGUUUUCUUCUUUUACCAUAUUGUUGCAGCUAACUGAUGUAAUCUUCUUAUUAGUGUGUAUUUUAAAAACAAACCUUGUGCAAUCCUUUAGAGAACUAGUAAGCAUUCAUAAUUAUUCAUAUUCAUACACAACAAAUGUUUAUUUC